CCUACGGGAGGCAGCAGUGGGGAAUAUUGGACAAUGGGCGAAAGCCUGAUCCAGCCAUGCCGCGUGUGUGAAGAAGGCCUUCGGGUUGUAAAGCACUUUCAGUGGGGAAGAAAGCCUUGGGGCUAAUACCCUCGAGGAAGGACAUCACCCACAGAAGAAGCACCGGCUAACUCCGUGCCAGCAGCCGCGGUAAUACGGAGGGUGCGAGCGUUAAUCGGAAUUACUGGGCGUAAAGCGCGCGUAGGCGGUCUGAUAAGCCGGUUGUGAAAGCCCCGGGCUCAACCUGGGAACGGCAUCCGGAACUGUCAGGCUAGAGUGCAGGAGAGGAAGGUAGAAUUCCCGGUGUAGCGGUGAAAUGCGUAGAGAUCGGGAGGAAUACCAGUGGCGAAGGCGGCCUUCUGGACUGACACUGACGCUGAGGUGCGAAAGCGUGGGUAGCAAACAGGAUUAGAUACCCCGUUAGUC
This 465-nucleotide ribosomal RNA is filed under the name Vreelandella stevensii. RNAcentral describes it as "partial 16S ribosomal RNA". It matches the Rfam family "Bacterial small subunit ribosomal RNA", at positions 338 to 795 of the family's 1533-position model. The record is from RNAcentral. Lineage: Bacteria; Pseudomonadati; Pseudomonadota; Gammaproteobacteria; Oceanospirillales; Halomonadaceae.